RNAcentral lists this long non-coding RNA (883 nucleotides) under Marmota monax (woodchuck). The record is from RNAcentral. Lineage: Eukaryota; Metazoa; Chordata; Mammalia; Rodentia; Sciuridae.
CUCUACAAAGGAGGUGUUUCAGAUGGACCUUGGAGGGAGGCCAGGGCAUCUCCCUCAGAACCGGAGGAGGGGAGGCUGGGAGUGGCCCCAGGCAGAGGGUAGGGGCAGGACAGAGCCUGUGGCCCUCAGGCCAGGUGAUGGGAGGCUUGGUGCUGGGCUGAGGGCUGAGCACUUCAUGCUGUGCAUGGCUAAGGACAGCAGCUGCCACCCCUGGUGUGUCCAGGUCCUGCUCCCAGACAGGUCACUUCUAGGACUUUGGAAUCCAGGUGCACAAAAAUGAGACCAGCUCUCCCCAGGUGGAGAAGCUGGUGACAAUCCUGAACUUGCUGGUGUUUUCUGACCCUGGGCAGGUGGAACAUUCAUAGUACGUCCCUCUUUCCAGUUAGGACAAGUGGGUGCAGGGUAAGGUCACAAGUGGGGUCUGCUGCUUAGUGGCCUGUGGCCCACCUUCCCUGCGGUGUCAGCUACUUCUGGUGCCUCUGCAGCGGCUCCGCGGGAUUUCCAGGCCUUCUCGUGACUGUGAGGCGUGCAGGUGGCUGUGACGUGGGGUCUGCCCUGGGGAGGCCGUGCUCAGGCUUACCUGGAACACAGGGUGCCUUUGCAGCUGGGUCCUCUGGGGGUCUCCUCCCAGGCCCUUUAGUGCAGCAGGUGGGAAACUUCCCAGGGGGCCCCUGUUUCCUGGUGGCUGAGGGGAGCACAGGCUUUUCGACGGACACUCAGUCUCACAGGCUGUGAGGAGGGAAACUCAUGAAUGCACGUGUGUGUGUGUGUGUGUGUGUGUGUGUGUAAGUUGUUGGUGGAGGACCGUAUUCUAUUCAUUUAUGUAUAUGCACUGCUGAGAAUCGAACUCAGUGAGGCAAGAGCUUUACCACUGAGCCACGGC